Monopterus albus (swamp eel) is the source of this 212-nucleotide long non-coding RNA. RefSeq lists it as uncharacterized. The record is from RefSeq and is a predicted model, not a curated record. Lineage: Eukaryota; Metazoa; Chordata; Actinopteri; Synbranchiformes; Synbranchidae. The transcript has 4 exons.
UUUGAGAAGUUAGUGACUGCUUGUACGUCAUCCUUGAUUUUGAACUCAGUAAAAAGAACUUGCCUACGGUAUUUUACUCCCUACAACACAUCCUGCUAGAGCUGCAAGUGACAUCACAGCAAGAUGGCAUCGGGUCUGUAUUUCACUGUAGUCCUCUGUUUGACGAGUGGACUAUGGGCUGAGGAAAUUGGAGGAGCAAAGCCAUCUAACGG